UUCUUAUAAAGCUUGAGAGGAACAUAUACGAAAAGUAUAAACUAGAAAUAGAUAGCCAUCAUUUUACUUACGUUUUCUUUUACAUAAACACACGUUAAUAUAUCUUUUAUAUGUACCAAAUACUCUAACUUUAUUUACAGAAAAAAAUCGUAAAUUAAAUGAAAUAAAUGGUAAAUAUCUUUGCAAAAACAACAACGAAAAAGUUAAAACACUUUAUUCAAAAAUUUGAUGGUUUACAAUUGUUUUUUUUUGUCUAGAUGUGAAUCUAAGAACACGUGAAGGCUUAUCUAUUUGUUCCACUUGCUAAGUCAUUCUAUACGAUAUUUGUUUCUCCACCGUCGAAACGAUGAUUCUUUAUUCCACUUACAUUUCAAGAAUGCGUUGUGUAUGUGCCAAGUUUGUUGGUAUUCUUGUUGUUGUUUCUAUA
This 427-nucleotide long non-coding RNA is filed under the name Capsella grandiflora. Its description in RNAcentral is "long non-coding RNA (CGRA_LNC001349)". The record is from RNAcentral. Lineage: Eukaryota; Viridiplantae; Streptophyta; Magnoliopsida; Brassicales; Brassicaceae.